GCGGACGGGUGAGUAACGCGUGAGAAUCUGCCUAGAGGACGGGGAUAACCACUGGAAACGGUGGCUAAUACCGGAUAUGCCUGCGGGUGAAAGGAUUUAUCGCCUUUAGAGGAGCUCGCGUCCGAUUAGCUAGUUGGUGAGGUAAGAGCUCACCAAGGCAGCGAUCGGUAGCUGGUCUGAGAGGACGAGCAGCCACACUGGGACUGAGACACGGCCCAGACUCCUACGGGAGGCAGCAGUGGGGAAUUUUCCGCAAUGGGCGAAAGCCUGACGGAGCAAGACCGCGUGAGGGAGGAAGGCCCUUGGGUUGUAAACCUCUUUUCUCAGGGAAGAAAACUGACGGUACCUGAGGAAUCAGCCUCGGCUAACUCCGUGCCAGCAGCCGCGGUAAUACGGAGGAGGCAAGCGUUAUCCGGAAUUAUUGGGCGUAAAGCGUCCGCAGGUGGCGCAUCAAGUCUGCUGUCAAAGGUCGGGGCUUAACUCCGGAAAGGCAGUGGAAACUGAGGCGCUAGAGUGCGGUAGGGGUAGAGGGAAUUCCCGGUGUAGCGGUGAAAUGCGUAGAGNUCGGGAAGAACAUCGGUGGCGAAAGCGCUCUACUGGGCCGCAAC
This 608-nucleotide ribosomal RNA is filed under the name Microcoleus sp. M7C5. RNAcentral describes it as "bacterial SSU rRNA". It matches the Rfam family "Bacterial small subunit ribosomal RNA", at positions 98 to 740 of the family's 1533-position model. Lineage: Bacteria; Bacillati; Cyanobacteriota; Cyanophyceae; Oscillatoriales; Microcoleaceae. The record is from RNAcentral.